This 415-nucleotide ribosomal RNA is filed under the name Hormius sp. RNAcentral's name for it is "eukaryotic LSU rRNA". Lineage: Eukaryota; Metazoa; Arthropoda; Insecta; Hymenoptera; Braconidae. The record is from RNAcentral.
CCUGAGAAACCCAAAAGAUCGAAUGAGGAGAUUCAUCGUCAGCUCAUUUUGUAUAUGCAUGAGUUACGAUGCGGGUUACUACUUGUAGUAUUGCCUGCACGUUCUUAUGCAUUUAGUUGCAAGAUGUUGUCGGCGUGCACUUCUUCUCUAGUAGGACGUCGCGACCCGUUGGGUGUCGGUCUACGGCCCAAGUGGGAGCCUUUAAUGUUUAACAACGUUAAAGACCCUUGGUGUUUCCUGACCGGCUACUCGGCGGUACUCGUACGGUAUUGAGCCGCAUAUUAUGCGUCCAUGCCCGUCACAAGCGCGGCCAAUUAUUGGUAGUACGGACCUAGUGCCGUCGCUGAUAUUGGCCAGCUGUUGGUUGUACGGUGUUCUAGGACUGGCUAUAUUACCGGUCGGCGAUGCUACUGCU